UGAAGUACGACGUUGCGGUGUUUUAUUGUGCGGCUUCCGUGCUCCGCGGGCCGGGGGCGCACUUGGGCGCCGAGUGGAACUAAGGGCGUCGGCCAACCCCACAGGCCGGCCUAGCCUCGAGGUCCAGCUUCGGCCUGAGGUUCACCUUGGUCCUCAGCGUUGUACACGUUGCCCCCAGUUCCGCCGAGGAAGUCCUAAACGUCCAGACCUACGUCUCUCUAGAGGGCCAUCGGUGACCCGGCUGGAGACCUUGAACGUAAGUCAGCAUCAGUCCAGGGGCCUCGUGGUAAGGCGGGAGUCCAUGUUUGUGUCUGAAGCGCUUAGUAAUAAAGCGAAGGUGGUGAGUGGAUGGGA
Molecule: long non-coding RNA, 354 nt
Organism: Equus quagga
Lineage: Eukaryota; Metazoa; Chordata; Mammalia; Perissodactyla; Equidae
Exons: 2
Source: RefSeq, a predicted model, not a curated record